UACGGAGGGGGCUAGCGUUGUUCGGAAUUACUGGGCGUAAAGCGCACGUAGGCGGCUUUGUAAGUUAGAGGUGAAAGCCCGGAGCUCAACUCCGGAAUUGCCUUUAAGACUGCAUCGCUUGAAUCAUGGAGAGGUGAGUGGAAUUCCGAGUGUAGAGGUGAAAUGCGUAGAUAUUCGGAAGAACACCAGUGGCGAAGGCGACUCACUGGACAUGUAUUGACGCUGAGGUGCGAAAGCGUGGGGAGCAAACAGG
Molecule: ribosomal RNA, 253 nt
Filed under: uncultured bacterium
Lineage: Bacteria
Description: partial 16S ribosomal RNA
Rfam family: Bacterial small subunit ribosomal RNA
Source: RNAcentral